Nicotiana attenuata is the source of this 177-nucleotide long non-coding RNA. RefSeq lists it as uncharacterized. The transcript is spliced from 2 exons. The record is from RefSeq and is a predicted model, not a curated record. NCBI's taxonomy places the organism in Eukaryota, Viridiplantae, Streptophyta, Magnoliopsida, Solanales, Solanaceae.
AUAUUUGUCGGGGAUGAUUCUCCUUUCCAUUCAGAGGCUCUCCACAUGACUGCUAAAUAGAUCGAAGAUUCAGUGCCCUAGUUGAGGUACAAGUGUGUGGAUCAAUGGUGACAGAAGAGCAGCCACAUGCUAUGUUAAUACCAAUGGAGUAUUUCCUCAUGGGGUAUGGACUAUACA